AGUUGUAGCUGGCCUCNAGGGGCAUGUGCACGCUCUCUUCCG
RNAcentral lists this ribosomal RNA (42 nucleotides) under Suillus luteus. Its description in RNAcentral is "partial 18S ribosomal RNA". The record is from RNAcentral. Lineage: Eukaryota; Fungi; Basidiomycota; Agaricomycetes; Boletales; Suillaceae.